This 492-nucleotide ribosomal RNA is filed under the name uncultured bacterium. RNAcentral describes it as "partial 16S ribosomal RNA". It matches the Rfam family "Bacterial small subunit ribosomal RNA", at positions 29 to 507 of the family's 1533-position model. The record is from RNAcentral.
AGUGAACGCUGGCGGUAGGCCUAACACGUGCAAGUCGAACGGCAGCACAGUAAGAGCUUGCUCUUACGGGUGGCGAGUGGCGGACGGGUGAGGAAUACAUCGGAAUCUACUUUUUCGUGGGUGACAACGUAGGGAAACUUACGCUAAUACCGCAUACGACCUACGGGUGAAAGCAGGGGACCUUCGGACCUCGCGCGAUUGAAUGAGCGGAUGUCGGAUUAGCUAGUUGGCGGGGUAAAGGCCCACCAAGGCGACGAUCCGUAGCUGGUCUGAGAGGAUGAUCAGCCACACUGGAACUGAGACACGGUCCAGACUCCUACGGGAGGCAGCAGUGGGGAAUAUUGGACAAUGGGCGCAAGCCUGAUCCAGCCAUGCCGCGUGGGUGAAGAAGGCCUUCGGGUUGUAAAGCCCUUUUGUUGGGGAAGAAAAGCAGUAGGUUAAUACCCCGCUGUUCUGACGGUACCCAAAGAAUAAGCACCGGCUAACUUCGUG